GACGAACGCUGGCGGCGUGCUUAACACAUGCAAGUCGAACGGAAAGGCCCUGCUGUUGUGGGGUGCUCGAGCGGCGAACGGGUGAGUAACACGUGAGUAACCUGCCCCUUACUGGGGGAUAACUACAGGUAACUGGGGUUAAUAACGCAUAGGAGCGCCUGCUGCAUGGAGGGGGGGGGAAUGUUUCGGCGGUCGGGGAUGGACUCGCGGCUUGUCAGCUUGUUGGGGGGGUAGUGGCUCACAAAGACGUUGACGGGCAGCCGGCCUGAGAGGGUGACCGGCGACAUGGGGCCUGCGGUACGGACCAGACUGGUACGGGAGGCAGUGGUGGGGAGUAUUGUGCAGUGGGGGGAAGCCUGUGGCAGCGGCGCUGGGGGCGGGAAGACGGCCUGCGGGGUGUAAAGGGCGUUAGCCUGUGACGAUGCGUGAGUGACGGUAAUGGGUAAAGAAGCACCGGCUAACUACGUG
Molecule: ribosomal RNA, 468 nt
Filed under: uncultured bacterium
Lineage: Bacteria
Description: partial 16S ribosomal RNA
Rfam family: Bacterial small subunit ribosomal RNA
Source: RNAcentral